RNAcentral lists this small nuclear RNA (118 nucleotides) under Sungouiella intermedia. RNAcentral describes it as "Candida intermedia U5 spliceosomal RNA". It matches the Rfam family "U5 spliceosomal RNA". Rfam says of the family: U5 RNA is a component of both types of known spliceosome. The precise function of this molecule is unknown, though it is known that the 5' loop is required for splice site selection and p220 binding, and that both the 3' stem-loop and the Sm site are important for Sm protein binding and cap methylation. Lineage: Eukaryota; Fungi; Ascomycota; Pichiomycetes; Serinales; Metschnikowiaceae. The record is from Rfam by way of RNAcentral.
AUCGCCAGAAGAUCAAUUUCUUAAUCGUACAUGGUUCUUGCCUUUUACCAGAACCAUCCGGGAAUUGUCUUUGCUAAUGGUGUUUUGUCACUUUUUGGAAUAUCUCUAUGCGCUAAAU